Molecule: non-coding RNA, 623 nt
Organism: Cherax quadricarinatus
Lineage: Eukaryota; Metazoa; Arthropoda; Malacostraca; Decapoda; Parastacidae
Source: RefSeq, a predicted model, not a curated record
UGUGGAUAGUGAGGUUGUUGGCCAGUAGACGUUGUUGGGGGCAGUCACUCUCUUGAUUCAUCCGUGUUUACUGAACAAUUUUAGUGUUUAUUGUAGUAGUGCAUCUAGAUCUGUCAGCCCUGCAUACGUUGAUGAUGGAGAGACCUGGCUAUGUGGCAGAGCAUUCAUCUACAUAUCCACGGUCAAUUCUGAACAAAGUGAGAUGUAUGGCCCACUGAAAGAUUUGGUUGAUGUCUGCCUGGAGCUUUGCAGUGUCUGCAAUGGAAGACACUGUCAUGCAGAUUCGGGUGUCAUCUGCAAAGGAAGACACGGUGCUGUGGCUGACAUCCUUGUCUAUGUCGGAUAUAAGGAUGAGGAACAAGAUGGGAGCGAGUACUGUGCCUUGUGGAACAGAGCUUUUCACGUAGCUGCCUCGGACUUUACUCUGUUGACGACUACUCUCUGUGUUCUGUUAGUGAGGAAAUUAUAGAUCCAUCGACCGACUUUUCCUGUUAUUCCUUUAGCACGCAUUUUGUGCGCUAUUACGCCAUGGUCACACUUGUCGAAGGCUUUUGCAAAGUCUGUAUAUAUUACAUCUGCAUUCUUUUUGUCUUCUAGUGCAUUUAGGACCUUGUCGUAGUGGU